UUCAGUUUCAGAGCCACCUCUGGGUCUGCACCUCCCCUGUGGGGCCUACUGUUUGGCCUUGUGCAGUGCUUUGGAUCUCUGCUUUCCAGAUCAGAGCUGUUAUGCCACAGAUAGAAAUUUCCACUCUGUAUUAACUUCUCUUGUGAAAUGGCAUCUGGAACACGGAUUACAACAAUCCAUUUAACUACUAUGAAACGGUUCUGGAGUGACACUGUUGUGAAGAGGAAAUUCCAGCGGAGCUACUGGAGCAAGCCUUUGAUCUGCCAUAUUGAACUCCUCCAGCUGUGCGGAUUCACUGCACUAUAAGAAAAACAUUUCUACGACCACUUUAAAGCUAAACUCAUUUCAGGUUUGUGCUGAAGAGAGAUUGAGAAAAGGCUAAAAGGCUAGCCCAGGCUUCCAUUUUGAGACAGCAAGAGUACCCAGCAAUAUGACGGACGUAACUAGUGGCAAGCAGGAUUGUGUGGGUUUUUUCUUUGAAGAUCUUCUGUAGUAAAACAGAAUGGAACUUGUCUAUUUAUGACAUUUUUCAAUUUUUCUGGGCAGUCAAUGAAACAUAACAUUACCAACAUCAUUUUCUCUCACCUGAUCUAAGAGAUUUUUCUUUUUGUCAUUUUUUAAUACUUCACCCGUUACAAAAGUUUUUCCACCUCUUACAUUUUGCAGUUACUAAUAUUAGGAAAUGCAAUGCCAAUUUGUUUGCAAGCCAUGUAAAAGGAACAUCUUAACAGGAUAGCAAAUGAUUAAAUACAUGGUAUAUUGUGUGGCAUAUAUUUGGUGGUUUUGUGACCUGAAAUGAUCUAAUGUCUAGUGUUUAAUCUUAUACCAUCAAAGUAAGGUCAUCUUUGCCCUAUUUCUUUAUUGCUCUUUGUGCUCAUAUAUGUUUAUUGAACAUUUGUGUGUAUUUAGCAGUGACAGGGAUGAAAAUAGUCUGAGGUUUAGGGAAGCAUUAUUUUUCAGGCUUCAAGAAUAAAACCGAUGUUUUCCAGGGCACAGAAUGCCUACCUGUGCCUAGGUGAUAAGGUCUCCAGCACAAUGAGCUCUUUUGUUCUGGGAAACAGGCCCAGGCUUAUUCUACUACUUCCCCGUUUUACAAUCUUGCUAAAGUUGACCUUUACCUAUCUUGUGGUGCUUUUUCAACAAAAAUAAAAUUCUUAACUGGGCUCAUUUUUAUGACUGACUAUAAAACCUCCCUUUCAACUUCACCUGUUAAUAAAGGGAACCAGCUCUUCCUUCUCCUGUAUGCUUGGGAAAAAUAGA
RNAcentral lists this long non-coding RNA (1260 nucleotides) under Homo sapiens (human). Its description in RNAcentral is "HSALNT0325298". The record is from RNAcentral. Lineage: Eukaryota; Metazoa; Chordata; Mammalia; Primates; Hominidae.